This 254-nucleotide ribosomal RNA is filed under the name uncultured bacterium. RNAcentral describes it as "partial 16S ribosomal RNA". It matches the Rfam family "Bacterial small subunit ribosomal RNA", at positions 524 to 776 of the family's 1533-position model. The record is from RNAcentral.
UACGGGGGGGGCGAGCGUUGUUCGGAAUCACUGGGCGUAAAGGGCGCGUAGGCGGCCCGCACAAGUCUGCGGUGAAAACCUCCGGCUUAACCGGGGGCCGGCCGUGGAAACUGUCGGGCUGGAGGCUGGGAGAGGGCAGCGGAAUUCCCGGUGUAGCGGUGAAAUGCGUAGAGAUCGGGAGGAACACCGGUGGCGAAGGCGGCGGCCUGGACCAGUCCUGACGCUGAGGCGCGAAAGCUAGGGGAGCAAACAGG